CAAUAGCGUAUAUUUAAGUUGUUGCAGUUAAAAAGCUCGUAGUUGGAUUUCGGAUGGGACUUGCCGGUCCGUCGUUUCGAUGUGCACUGGCCAGUCCUAUCUUGUUGUCGGGGACUAGCUCCUGGGCUUCACUGUCCGGGACUAGGAGCUGACGAGGUUACUUUGAGUAAAUUAGAGUGUUCAAAGCAAGCCUACGCUCUGAAUACAUUAGCAUGGAAUAACACGAUAGGACUCUGGCUUAUCUUGUUGGUCUGUGAAACCAGAGUAAUGAUUAAGAGGGACAGUCGGGGGCAUUCGUAUUUCAUUGUCAGAGGUGAAAUUCUUGGAUUUAUGAAAGACGAACUUCUGCGAAAGCAUUUGUCAAGGAUGUUUUCAUUA
Molecule: ribosomal RNA, 378 nt
Filed under: uncultured eukaryote
Lineage: Eukaryota
Description: partial 18S ribosomal RNA
Rfam family: Eukaryotic small subunit ribosomal RNA
Source: RNAcentral